Molecule: non-coding RNA, 792 nt
Organism: Delphinapterus leucas (beluga whale)
Lineage: Eukaryota; Metazoa; Chordata; Mammalia; Artiodactyla; Monodontidae
Source: RefSeq, a predicted model, not a curated record
GGUGGAGGUGCGGAGCCGGAUCAGGGCCUUGCAAUAGACGCGGGUCUAGGUGAGGGGUGGAAUGGGGCGGAGGCUUGUAUAUAGCCGGGAUUGGGUAUGAAGUUGAGGUCUAAUUGGAUGUAUGUGACCUAUUGAUUUGGGGCGGGUUAUAGGACAAAGGAUUGAUUUGGAAGAAAAAGCAAGCUGUGGGGUCACAAGGCUUAGGUGAGGGGAAGCAUGUAGUUUGAACGAUGUUAGAAGGUGCCAGAGAGGGCAAGGCUAAAGAGAGUGUGCAAAAAGUUUUGUAGAUGUAUUUAUCACCUAUGAUGGUGGUGAGGGGGGAAAAAUAGGAACUUUACUUUCCUGAACAGUAAAACGAAUUCGAUCAGAGAACCGGGAAUGGAAUAGGGUAUGAAACUGAGAAGGAAAAUAAGUGACACUUUAAACGUGAAGAAGAAAAAUUGGCUAAGAGAAAAAGGAACACCAGAAAUUACUCCUUUAUUGAGGGCAGUGUUAGCCAAAGGAGAGGUUCUGGUAAGAAUUAGGUUUCAUAACUAGAUUUUCCUUAUCUCCUAAUUUAAGAAAAUGAGAGGAUAGAAGGAGUUGGGGGGCAGUAGCUUGUUAUUCAACUGCAGAAGAAAGAACAAAGAUAAUCUCUGGUUGAAGGAAUCUACUCUGCACCUAGGUACUGCGAGAUUCAGAAGAUUAUCAGAUUUUUAUAUUUUACAGGGGAACACCAGGGCUAGUUCCUAACAAUACCGAAGCCUUAAGGUACGCGGGCCUCUCACUGUUGUGGCCUCUCCAAUUGCAGAG